RNAcentral lists this ribosomal RNA (460 nucleotides) under uncultured bacterium. RNAcentral describes it as "partial 16S ribosomal RNA". It matches the Rfam family "Bacterial small subunit ribosomal RNA", at positions 338 to 795 of the family's 1533-position model. The record is from RNAcentral.
CCUACGGGAGGCAGCAGUGAGGAAUAUUGGUCAAUGGACGAAAGUCUGAACCAGCCAAGUAGCGUGAAGGAUGACUGCCCUAUGGGUUGUAAACUUCUUUUAUAUGGGAAUAAAAUGAUCCACGUGUGGGAUUUUGUAUGUACCAUAUGAAUAAGGAUCGGCUAACUCCGUGCCAGCAGCCGCGGUAAUACGGAGGAUCCGAGCGUUAUCCGGAUUUAUUGGGUUUAAAGGGAGCGUAGGGGGAUUGUUAAGUCAGUUGUGAAAGUUUGCGGCUCAACCGUAAAAUUGCAGUUGAAACUGGCAGUCUUGAGUACAGGAGAGGUGUGCGGAAUUCGUGGUGUAGCGGUGAAAUGCUUAGAUAUCACGAAGAACUCCGAUUGCGAAGGCAGUUCACUGGACUGCAACUGACACUGAGGCUCGAAAGUGUGGGUAUCAAACAGGAUUAGAUACCCGGGUAGUC